Molecule: non-coding RNA, 60 nt
Filed under: Sus scrofa (pig)
Lineage: Eukaryota; Metazoa; Chordata; Mammalia; Artiodactyla; Suidae
Source: RNAcentral
AGAGGUUGCCCUUGGUGAAUUCGCUUUAUUUACGUUGAAUCACACAAAGGCAACUUUUGU